RNAcentral lists this ribosomal RNA (345 nucleotides) under uncultured soil bacterium. Its description in RNAcentral is "bacterial SSU rRNA". It matches the Rfam family "Bacterial small subunit ribosomal RNA", at positions 26 to 372 of the family's 1533-position model. The record is from RNAcentral.
AGAUUGAACGCUGGCGGCAUGCCUUACACAUGCAAGUCGAACGGCAGCACGGGAGCAAUCCUGGUGGCGAGUGGCGAACGGGUGAGUAAUAUAUCGGAACGUGCCCAGUCGUGGGGGAUAACGCAGUGAAAGCUGUGCUAAUACCGCAUACGAUCUAUGGAUGAAAGCGGGGGACUCGCAAGAGCCUCGCGCGAUUGGAGCGGCCGAUAUCAGAUUAGCUAGUUGGUGGGGUAAAAGCCCACCAAGGCGACGAUCUGUAGCUGGUCUGAGAGGACGACCAGCCACACUGGAACUGAGACACGGUCCAGACUCCUACGGGAGGCAGCAGUGGGGAAUUUGGACAAU